RNAcentral lists this ribosomal RNA (439 nucleotides) under uncultured bacterium. RNAcentral's name for it is "partial 16S ribosomal RNA". It matches the Rfam family "Bacterial small subunit ribosomal RNA", at positions 339 to 795 of the family's 1533-position model. The record is from RNAcentral.
CUACGGGAGGCAGCAGUGGGGAAUCUUAGACAAUGGGCGCAAGCCUGAUCUAGCCAUGCCGCGUGAGCGAUGAAGGCCUUAGGGUUGUAAAGCUCUUUCGGGGGGGAAGAUAAUGACUGUACCCCCAGAAGAAGCCCCGGCUAACUCCGUGCCAGCAGCCGCGGUAAUACGGAGGGGGCUAGCGUUGUUCGGAAUUACUGGGCGUAAAGCGCACGUAGGCGGACGGAGAAGUCAGAGGUGAAAUCCCAGGGCUCAACCUUGGAACUGCCUUUGAAACUUUCUGUCUUGAGGUCGUGAGAGGUGAGUGGAAUUCCGAGUGUAGAGGUGAAAUUCGUAGAUAUUCGGAGGAACACCAGUGGCGAAGGCGGCUCACUGGCACGAUACUGACGCUGAGGUGCGAAAGCGUGGGGAGCAAACAGGAUUAGAUACCCUAGUAGUC